UACGAAGGGGGCAAGCGUUGUUCGGAAUCACUGGGCGUAAAGCGCAUGUAGGCGGUUUAUUAAGUCAGAGGUGAAAUCCCGGGGCUCAACCCCGGAACUGCCUUUGAAACUGGUAAACUAGAGUUCGGUAGGGGAUAGUGGAAUUCCUAGUGUAGAGGUGAAAUUCGUAGAUAUUAGGAGGAACACCGGUGGCGAAGGCGACUAUCUGGACCGAUACUGACGCUAAGAUGCGAAAGCGUGGGGAGCAAACAGG
Molecule: ribosomal RNA, 253 nt
Filed under: uncultured bacterium
Lineage: Bacteria
Description: partial 16S ribosomal RNA
Rfam family: Bacterial small subunit ribosomal RNA
Source: RNAcentral